RNAcentral lists this ribosomal RNA (484 nucleotides) under uncultured bacterium. RNAcentral's name for it is "partial 16S ribosomal RNA". It matches the Rfam family "Bacterial small subunit ribosomal RNA", at positions 30 to 507 of the family's 1533-position model. The record is from RNAcentral.
AUUGAACGCUGGCGGCAGGCCUAACACAUGCAAGUCGAGCGGAUGAAGGGAGCUUGCUCCUGGAUUCAGCGGCGGACGGGUGAGUAAUGCCUUGGAAUCUGCCUGGUAGUGGGGGAUAACGUCCGGAAACGGGCGCUAAUACCGCAUACGUCCUGAGGGAGAAAGUGGGGGAUCUUCGGACCUCACGCUAUCAGAUGAGCCUAGGUCGGAUUAGCUAGUUGGUGGGGUAAAGGCCUACCAAGGCGACGAUCCGUAACUGGUCUGAGAGGAUGAUCAGUCACACUGGAACUGAGACACGGUCCAGACUCCUACGGGAGGCAGCAGUGGGGAAUAUUGGACAAAGGGCGAAAGCCUGAUCCAGCCAUGCCGCGUGUGUGAAGAAGGUCUUCGGAUUGUAAAGCACUUUAAGUUGGGAGGAAGGGCAGUAAGUUAAUACCUUGCUGUUUUGACGUUACCAACAGAAUAAGCACCGGCUAACUUCGUG